AGCAGUGGACCUACUAGAAAUAAUGAAAUACUUUAGAAAAGGCGAAACAGUCAGAUCAGAAUAUGAGAAAGCUCUGCUGUUGGCUGCACUGUUCCUUAGAUGAGGCGAGUAGGUGCUGAUGGAGUCUGUCCUGUGUCUGGGAUCCACAAGCAGCUUUCUGUCCCCUUAGAGCAGGUGUUCAUUGCUGGGUUUCUGUGCAGAUAGAAACCUUACCUUUAGCAAGCUGCUGUGCUGUGUGUGCCUGCAGAAUUGCCACGAGAGGAAAUACUUCAGAGGGGCUUCCCUCCAGCUAAGCCCUGAAUAUGCCAGGAGGUUUCAGCCGGGAGGAAAGGAGCUGUGGAAGAAAAGCAGCCUAAAAAUAGCCAGCGGGGAUCAUCAGGUUUUCCAGCCAAGAAGAACAAGGAGAGAGAUGAGGGAAUCGGGUUCCAAUUCCUAAUGAUUUGGUGGGUGCAGGAAUGAUUUCUGUGUGUUUUCCAGUCCCUUUUGAUUCCUGAGAUGAUUUUAAAAUGAUGGCUUUAGCAAUCAACUAAAUCGGAGAUGUUGUUUUUGAGAGGAAAUGAUGCCAAAUAAAUGCAGAGUUUUGGGUCAGUUUUUGG
This is a long non-coding RNA of Pseudopipra pipra, 596 nucleotides long. RefSeq lists it as uncharacterized. The transcript is spliced from 2 exons. The record is from RefSeq and is a predicted model, not a curated record. NCBI's taxonomy places the organism in Eukaryota, Metazoa, Chordata, Aves, Passeriformes, Pipridae.